Molecule: long non-coding RNA, 780 nt
Filed under: Anser brachyrhynchus (Pink-footed goose)
Lineage: Eukaryota; Metazoa; Chordata; Aves; Anseriformes; Anatidae
Description: lncRNA (ENSABRG00000007840.1)
Source: RNAcentral
UGGAGAUGUUUCUGGAAGGGGAAAGAAACAUCCCUGGUGUGAGCCAGGAGCCCAGUCCCCGUGGCCAUGAAGUUAGGAUCCCGUGCUCGUUGUGCUCAGGUGGACGUCCCAGCCCACCGCUGCAGCGCGUGCUCCUGCUUGCUUGCCUUGGGCUCAGGCCAUCAUCAUGCUGCAUCGAUCAAUGCGCCUUCCUGCAAUUAAAGGGAGCCAAAAAGAGGCAUCCUACCCAAAAAUGCAGUGUUUGCCUGAGCAGGGCUUUAGCUGCAGGUCUGCACCUUGAGACGAGCCGUGCUGCCCUACCUCCAGCCAUUGGCAUUCCUGAUCCAUCACGGAGCGAUCAGGAGGUUUAUUUUUCCCAUGUCUCCCCCCAGAUUCCAUCAUUUCCCUUCCUAAAAGAUUCCAUGUGUAUCCCGAGCACGCGGUCGCCCAGAUAAGAGCUCUUAAGCUAUCUUGUCUGUUUGUGCACAGCGGAGGGGGGGAAGGAAAGCCCCACGAUGGAAAAAACAAGCCCGCACGAAUCAGUAGGGUUAGGAAAACACUCGUACCUACAAGGGGAAGGCAGAAAACGAUGAACCAAUUAAAUACCCGAUGGAUUUAAGUCGGAUGGAAGUCCGCAGGUCCUUGCCCUGCUUUCCAUGGGAAGCGGCUUCCAAUGACCCACCGGUGCGGCGCCGUGCCACGCCGUGCCCGCGGCCGGCACCCGCUGCAGGUUUUGGGGAUCCCGGCCUUGGGGCUGAGCCCAGGAGCAAGGCGAGGCAGAGCCGAGGGUGGGCACCUCCG